This 468-nucleotide ribosomal RNA is filed under the name uncultured bacterium. RNAcentral's name for it is "partial 16S ribosomal RNA". It matches the Rfam family "Bacterial small subunit ribosomal RNA", at positions 28 to 507 of the family's 1533-position model. The record is from RNAcentral.
GAUGAACGCUGGCGGCGUGCUUAACACAUGCAAGUCGAACGGAAAGGCCCAAGCUUGCUUGGGUACUCGAGUGGCGAACGGGUGAGUAACACGUGGGUGAUCUGCCCUGCACCUCGGGAUAAGCCUGGGAAACUGGGUCUAAUACCGGAUAGGACGAUGGUUUGGAUGCCAUUGUGGAAAGUUUUUUCGGUGUGGGAUGAGCUCGCGGCCUAUCAGCUUGUUGGUGGGGUAAUGGCCUACCAAGGCGUCGACGGGUAGCCGGCCUGAGAGGGUGUACGGCCACAUUGGGACUGAGAUACGGCCCAGACUCCUACGGGAGGCAGCAGUGGGGAAUAUUGCACAAUGGGCGCAAGCCUGAUGCAGCGACGCCGCGUGGGGGAUGACGGCCUUCGGGUUGUAAACUCCUUUCGCUAGGGACGAAGCGUUUUUGUGACGGUACCUGGAGAAGAAGCACCGGCUAACUACGUG